GAUGAACGCUGGCGGUAUGCUUUACGCAUGCAAGUCGUACGAGAGUUUUUAACUCAAGUGGCGGACGGGUGAGUAACACGUAAGAAUUUGCCUUUAGGAGGGGGAUAACAACUGGAAACGGUUGCUAAUACCCCAUAUGCUUUCGAGUGAAAUGGAUUUUUCCGCCUAAAGAGAAGCUUGCGGCUGAUUAGCUUGUUGGUGAGGUAAUGGCUUACCAAGGCGACGAUCAGUAUCUGGUUUGAGAGGACGAUCAGACACACUGGAACUGAGACACGGUCCAGACUCCUACGGGAGGCAGCAGUGGGGAAUUUUCCGCAAUGGGCGAAAGCCUGACGGAGCAAUACCGCGUGA
This 351-nucleotide ribosomal RNA is filed under the name uncultured bacterium. Its description in RNAcentral is "bacterial SSU rRNA". It matches the Rfam family "Bacterial small subunit ribosomal RNA", at positions 28 to 404 of the family's 1533-position model. The record is from RNAcentral.